This 253-nucleotide ribosomal RNA is filed under the name uncultured bacterium. RNAcentral's name for it is "partial 16S ribosomal RNA". It matches the Rfam family "Bacterial small subunit ribosomal RNA", at positions 524 to 776 of the family's 1533-position model. The record is from RNAcentral.
UACGUAGGGGGCAAGCGUUAUCCGGAUUUAUUGGGCGUAAAGCGAGUGCAGGCGGUUCAAUAAGUCUGAUGUGAAAGCCUUCGGCUCAACCGGAGAAUUGCAUCAGAAACUGUUGAACUUGAGUGCAGAAGAGGAGAGUGGAACUCCAUGUGUAGCGGUGGAAUGCGUAGAUAUAUGGAAGAACACCAGUGGCGAAGGCGGCUCUCUGGUCUGCAACUGACGCUGAGGCUCGAAAGCAUGGGUAGCGAACAGG